CACGUAGGUAAUCUACCCUUGGGUGGCGGACAACCUUCCGAAAGGAAGGCUAAUACGGCAUGACGCCAGCAAUGGCCAAAGCGGGCCUCUUCUUGAAAGCUCGCGCCUGGGGAUGAGCCUGCGGCCCAUCAGUUAGUUGGUUGAGGUAACGGCUCACCAAGACAUAGACGGGUAGCUGGUCUGAGAGGAUGAACAGCCACACUGGAACUGAGACACGGCCCAGACUCCUACGGGAGGCAGCAGUGGGGAAUAUUGCACAAUGGGGGAAACCCUGAUGCAGCCAUGCCGCGUGUGUGAAGA
RNAcentral lists this ribosomal RNA (300 nucleotides) under uncultured bacterium. RNAcentral describes it as "bacterial SSU rRNA". It matches the Rfam family "Bacterial small subunit ribosomal RNA", at positions 114 to 411 of the family's 1533-position model. The record is from RNAcentral.